UCCUACGGGAGGCAGCAGUAGGGAAUUUUCGUCAAUGGGCGCAAGCCUGAACGAGCAAUGCCGCGUGGACGAGGAAGGUCUUCGGAUCGUAAAGUUCUGUUGAAGGGGAAAAAGAGCGGAGAGAGGAAAUGGUCUCCGAUUGAUAUUACCCUUCGAGGAAGUCACGGCUAACUACGUGCCAGCAGCCGCGGUAAUACGUAGGUGGCGAGCGUUAUCCGGAAUGAUUGGGCGUAAAGGGUGCGUAGGCGGCCUGCUAAGUCUGGGGUGAAAGGUACCGGCUCAACCGGUACAGGCUCUGGAAACUG
This 305-nucleotide ribosomal RNA is filed under the name uncultured bacterium. RNAcentral's name for it is "bacterial SSU rRNA". It matches the Rfam family "Bacterial small subunit ribosomal RNA", at positions 337 to 635 of the family's 1533-position model. The record is from RNAcentral.